GAUGAAGAACGUAGCGAAAUGCGAUAAGUAAUGUGAAUUGCAGAAUUCCGUGAAUCAUCGAAUCUUUGAACGCACAUUGCGCCCCCUGGUAUUCCGGGGGGCAUGCCUGUCCGAGCGUCAUUGCAACCUUCAAGCGCGGCUUGUGUGUUGGGUCUCGUCCCCCGUGGACGGCCCCGAAAGGCAGUGGCGGCGUCCCGACAUGGUGCCCGAGCGUAUGGGAAUCCUCUUCCGCUCGAAUCGGCCCAUGCGGCGCUGGUCGUAACCAAAUUUUUUACCGGUUGACCUCGGAUCAGGUAGGGAUACCCGCUGAACUUAAGCAUAUCAAUAAGCGGAGGA
RNAcentral lists this unclassified non-coding RNA (336 nucleotides) under soil metagenome. RNAcentral describes it as "partial contains 5.8S ribosomal RNA, internal transcribed spacer 2, and large subunit ribosomal RNA". The stretch from base 1 to 120 matches the Rfam family "5.8S ribosomal RNA", at positions 35 to 154 of the family's 154-position model. The record is from RNAcentral.